RNAcentral lists this long non-coding RNA (279 nucleotides) under Bos grunniens (domestic yak). RNAcentral describes it as "lncRNA (ENSBGRG00000020648.1)". The record is from RNAcentral. Lineage: Eukaryota; Metazoa; Chordata; Mammalia; Artiodactyla; Bovidae.
AUGCAUCUUCUUGAAAGAAACACUGGAUCAUUUUGGUACCAUUUUCUAAACACAGUUCUUUCUUAUUUACCACAGCCUGGCAGGACACAAACGGAGCAAGCGAAAGUGACUGCUGCAGUGCGGUGCUUCUGGCUGUGCAGCAUCUGUGUGUGUCUCCUGCUUGCGAUGUGUGCCAGUGGUUCCACUACGCCCGCACUUUCGGCCUUGGAAGUGCGCCUGGUCACCCGCCAGCAGGCAUCACCACCACAGAGCUGACGGUGCCAAAUUCCUGCAAGGCCU